Osmerus eperlanus (European smelt) is the source of this 406-nucleotide long non-coding RNA. RefSeq lists it as uncharacterized. NCBI's taxonomy places the organism in Eukaryota, Metazoa, Chordata, Actinopteri, Osmeriformes, Osmeridae. The transcript is spliced from 3 exons. The record is from RefSeq and is a predicted model, not a curated record.
CUUGUCUUUAAUGACAGACACAUUACAGGUUAUGCUCCGGAAGAUGGAGACAUUGGAGGAGAACCAGCGAGAGGCUCUCCUAUUCAGGCGACUACAGGGCAGACACACUGAAGAGGUGCCAGUGAUGGACCUACAGGUGGCCCAAACACAGGCUGAACUCCAAGACCUUGAGGAGCGCCUUAAGGUGCUGGAGUUGCGAAAGAGAGUGACGCUGUGAUGAAGUGGAAGACGGGACUGGGAGAGAAAGCUGUGGAGCUCCUCAUAGAGGAGACACUCAAACACACCCCGGCAGCCCAUUCAAAACAAGCCAGGGCCAACAGACAGGACCUGUAGCGGGGACUGGCAGAAGAUUUUAAUUCACUGUUUGGCACUUUGUUUGAAAUAAAAUGACAAUGUUACAUGGAAA